AGAGUUUGAUCAUGGCUCAGGAUGAACGCUAGCGGCAGGCCUAAUACAUGCAAGUCGUACGGAGGCUUCGGCCUUAGUGGCGCACGGGUGCGUAACGCGUAUGCAACUUACCUUUCACUGGGGAAUAACUCGGGGAAACUCGGGCUAAUACCGCGUAAUAAGAGAUCAGGCAUCUGAUUUUUUUGAAAGCUUCGGCGGUGAAGGAUGGGCAUGCGUGCCAUUAGCUAGAUGGAGAGGUAACGGCUCCCCAUGGCGACGAUGGCUAGGGGUUCUGAGAGGAAGGUCCCCCACACUGGUACUGAGAUACGGACCAGACUCCUACGGGAGGCAGCAGUAAGGAAUAUUGGGCAAUGGACGCGAGUCUGACCCAGCCAUGCCGCGUGUCGGAAGAAUCCCCUCUGGGGUGUAAACGACUUUUCUCAGGGAAGAAAAAGCGCUUGCGAGCGUAACUGACGGUACCUGAGGAAUAAGCACCGGCUAACUACGUGCCAGCAGCCGCGGUAAUAC
This 507-nucleotide ribosomal RNA is filed under the name uncultured bacterium. Its description in RNAcentral is "bacterial SSU rRNA". It matches the Rfam family "Bacterial small subunit ribosomal RNA", at positions 8 to 526 of the family's 1533-position model. The record is from RNAcentral.